Molecule: transfer RNA, 76 nt
Filed under: bacterium
Lineage: Bacteria
Also listed under: 1 other name
Description: tRNA-Val
Rfam family: tRNA
About the family: Transfer RNA (tRNA) molecules are approximately 80 nucleotides in length. Their secondary structure includes four short double-helical elements and three loops (D, anti-codon, and T loops).
Source: RNAcentral
GGGCGGUUAGUUCACCGGUUAGAACGCCUCGUUGACAUCGAGGAAGUAACAGGUCCGAUUCCUGUACCGCCCACCA